AAAAUUCUAUACUUAGGGUUCGUUUGGUAGCUCGUAUAAACUCAUAUUACUCCAAAAAAGGCCCAAAGAGUGGUCAAUAUCUCACCUUCUCCAGCAUUUGGUAGCAACCGAUUUUAUCAGCGAACCCGGUACAACAGUUUCGGAUCUCAGUGAAUUGCGUAAUAAAAUCGGCGAAUCCGGCAUAUCACUAUCGGGGUAAGGUUGUGGUAUAACAUAUUCUCCAAUUCGCCGAUUCGUGUUCUCCAGAUUUAUGCCCAAAUUGCCCUUCUAUUUGCAAUCCUCGUCUAAACAGCACAAUACCUAACAUUCACAAUACGCUCAGUCGCGGUGAGAUUCAGGUUUCUGACCUCCACAGGUAAGUUAUCUGAAGCUGCACCUGGCCGUGAAGCAGUAUGAAUAUGGAUUCAGGGUGUUCAUGUUGGCGUUCUGCAUCGUGCUGGUUUCUGAUUCAUCGGAGUUUCUUCAGACUACUGUUUCGAGACUGGUGUUGAUCGCAGUUGGCGCUGGUGUCUGCUUAGUCAUGAAUGUCUGCAUUUUCCCCAUUUGGUCCGGUGAGGAUUUGCACAAGCUGAUCGUGAAGAACUUUAAAGGGGUCGCCACGUCUUUGGAAGGUGAAGAUCGAAGUAGCUUCACUUGGACGAUACUCUUCAAAGUGGAUUUGUGGUGGAAGGAAUGCAAGGAGAAGGUGCUUACAUGGUGGUAAGGUGGAGAAGAUGGCGCGAAAGUGGAGAGGAAUCCGCGCCACUCUGCAAAUGUAGCAGGGACGACGAGGGUGUAUGAGUAAUUUCCUUAAAAAAUUAGGGACAUAAAAGUCUUCGCAAUAUUUUUUCUAUUUUGUCUGCGCAAUGUCUAUUUCUACCAAACGAAGGAUUAAGUGAGAAAAGAAAGUCAACCAAAUUCUACCAAA
Long non-coding RNA from Salvia hispanica, 907 nucleotides. RefSeq lists it as uncharacterized. The record is from RefSeq and is a predicted model, not a curated record. NCBI's taxonomy places the organism in Eukaryota, Viridiplantae, Streptophyta, Magnoliopsida, Lamiales, Lamiaceae.